This 2931-nucleotide ribosomal RNA is filed under the name Escherichia coli. RNAcentral's name for it is "23S ribosomal RNA". It matches the Rfam family "Bacterial large subunit ribosomal RNA". Lineage: Bacteria; Pseudomonadati; Pseudomonadota; Gammaproteobacteria; Enterobacterales; Enterobacteriaceae. The record is from RNAcentral.
GGGUUGUGAGGUUAAGCGACUAAGCGUACACGGUGGAUGCCCUGGCAGUCAGAGGCGAUGAAGGACGUGCUAAUCUGCGAUAAGCGUCGGUAAGGUGAUAUGAACCGUUAUAACCGGCGAUUUCCGAAUGGGGAAACCCAGUGUGAUUCGUCACACUAUCAUUAACUGAAUCCAUAGGUUAAUGAGGCGAACCGGGGGAACUGAAACAUCUAAGUACCCCGAGGAAAAGAAAUCAACCGAGAUUCCCCCAGUAGCGGCGAGCGAACGGGGAGCAGCCCAGAGCCUGAAUCAGUGUGUGUGUUAGUGGAAGCGUCUGGAAAGGCGUGCGAUACAGGGUGACAGCCCCGUACACAAAAAUGCACAUAUUGUGAGCUCGAUGAGUAGGGCGGGACACGUGGUAUCCUGUCUGAAUAUGGGGGGACCAUCCUCCAAGGCUAAAUACUCCUGACUGACCGAUAGUGAACCAGUACCGUGAGGGAAAGGCGAAAAGAACCCCGGCGAGGGGAGUGAAAAAGAACCUGAAACCGUGUACGUACAAGCAGUGGGAGCACGCUUAGGCGUGUGACUGCGUACCUUUUGUAUAAUGGGUCAGCGACUUAUAUUCUGUAGCAAGGUUAACCGAAUAGGGGAGCCGAAGGGAAACCGAGUCUUAACUGGGCGUUAAGUUGCAGGGUAUAGACCCGAAACCCGGUGAUCUAGCCAUGGGCAGGUUGAAGGUUGGGUAACACUAACUGGAGGACCGAACCGACUAAUGUUGAAAAAUUAGCGGAUGACUUGUGGCUGGGGGUGAAAGGCCAAUCAAACCGGGAGAUAGCUGGUUCUCCCCGAAAGCUAUUUAGGUAGCGCCUCGUGAAUUCAUCUCCGGGGGUAGAGCACUGUUUCGGCAAGGGGGUCAUCCCGACUUACCAACCCGAUGCAAACUGCGAAUACCGGAGAAUGUUAUCACGGGAGACACACGGCGGGUGCUAACGUCCGUCGUGAAGAGGGAAACAACCCAGACCGCCAGCUAAGGUCCCAAAGUCAUGGUUAAGUGGGAAACGAUGUGGGAAGGCCCAGACAGCCAGGAUGUUGGCUUAGAAGCAGCCAUCAUUUAAAGAAAGCGUAAUAGCUCACUGGUCGAGUCGGCCUGCGCGGAAGAUGUAACGGGGCUAAACCAUGCACCGAAGCUGCGGCAGCGACGCUUAUGCGUUGUUGGGUAGGGGAGCGUUCUGUAAGCCUGUGAAGGUGUGCUGUGAGGCAUGCUGGAGGUAUCAGAAGUGCGAAUGCUGACAUAAGUAACGAUAAAGCGGGUGAAAAGCCCGCUCGCCGGAAGACCAAGGGUUCCUGUCCAACGUUAAUCGGGGCAGGGUGAGUCGACCCCUAAGGCGAGGCCGAAAGGCGUAGUCGAUGGGAAACAGGUUAAUAUUCCUGUACUUGGUGUUACUGCGAAGGGGGGACGGAGAAGGCUAUGUUGGCCGGGCGACGGUUGUCCCGGUUUAAGCGUGUAGGCUGGUUUUCCAGGCAAAUCCGGAAAAUCAAGGCUGAGGCGUGAUGACGAGGCACUACGGUGCUGAAGCAACAAAUGCCCUGCUUCCAGGAAAAGCCUCUAAGCAUCAGGUAACAUCAAAUCGUACCCCAAACCGACACAGGUGGUCAGGUAGAGAAUACCAAGGCGCUUGAGAGAACUCGGGUGAAGGAACUAGGCAAAAUGGUGCCGUAACUUCGGGAGAAGGCACGCUGAUAUGUAGGUGAAGUCCCUCGCGGAUGGAGCUGAAAUCAGUCGAAGAUACCAGCUGGCUGCAACUGUUUAUUAAAAACACAGCACUGUGCAAACACGAAAGUGGACGUAUACGGUGUGACGCCUGCCCGGUGCCGGAAGGUUAAUUGAUGGGGUCAGCGCAAGCGAAGCUCUUGAUCGAAGCCCCGGUAAACGGCGGCCGUAACUAUAACGGUCCUAAGGUAGCGAAAUUCCUUGUCGGGUAAGUUCCGACCUGCACGAAUGGCGUAAUGAUGGCCAGGCUGUCUCCACCCGAGACUCAGUGAAAUUGAACUCGCUGUGAAGAUGCAGUGUACCCGCGGCAAGACGGAAAGACCCCGUGAACCUUUACUAUAGCUUGACACUGAACAUUGAGCCUUGAUGUGUAGGAUAGGUGGGAGGCUUUGAAGUGUGGACGCCAGUCUGCAUGGAGCCGACCUUGAAAUACCACCCUUUAAUGUUUGAUGUUCUAACGUUGACCCGUGAUCCGGGUUGCGGACAGUGUCUGGUGGGUAGUUUGACUGGGGCGGUCUCCUCCUAAAGAGUAACGGAGGAGCACGAAGGUUGGCUAAUCCUGGUCGGACAUCAGGAGGUUAGUGCAAUGGCAUAAGCCAGCUUGACUGCGAGCGUGACGGCGCGAGCAGGUGCGAAAGCAGGUCAUAGUGAUCCGGUGGUUCUGAAUGGAAGGGCCAUCGCUCAACGGAUAAAAGGUACUCCGGGGAUAACAGGCUGAUACCGCCCAAGAGUUCAUAUCGACGGCGGUGUUUGGCACCUCGAUGUCGGCUCAUCACAUCCUGGGGCUGAAGUAGGUCCCAAGGGUAUGGCUGUUCGCCAUUUAAAGUGGUACGCGAGCUGGGUUUAGAACGUCGUGAGACAGUUCGGUCCCUAUCUGCCGUGGGCGCUGGAGAACUGAGGGGGGCUGCUCCUAGUACGAGAGGACCGGAGUGGACGCAUCACUGGUGUUCGGGUUGUCAUGCCAAUGGCACUGCCCGGUAGCUAAAUGCGGAAGAGAUAAGUGCUGAAAGCAUCUAAGCACGAAACUUGCCCCGAGAUGAGUUCUCCCUGACUCCUUGAGAGUCCUGAAGGAACGUUGAAGACGACGACGUUGAUAGGCCGGGUGUGUAAGCGCAGCGAUGCGUUGAGCUAACCGGUACUAAUGAACCGUGAGGCUUAACCUUACAACGCCGAAGGUGUUU